AAAUCGUAACAAGGUCUCCGUUGGUGAACCAGCGGAGGGAUCAUUGCUGGAACGCGCCCCAGGCGCACCCAGAAACCCUUUGUGAACUUAUACCUUACUGUUGCCUCGGCGCAUGCCGGCCCCCCUGGGGGCCCCUCCUUCGGGAGGAGCAGGCACGCCGGCGGCCAACCUAACUCUUGUUUUUACACUGAAACUCUGAGAAUAAAACAUAAAUGAAUCAAAACUUUCAACAACGGAUCUCUUGGUUCUGGCAUCGAUGAAGAACGCAGCGAAAUGCGAUAAGUAAUGUGAAUUGCAGAAUUCAGUGAAUCAUCGAAUCUUUGAACGCACAUUGCGCCCUCUGGUAUUCCGGAGGGCAUGCCUGUUCGAGCGUCAUUUCAACCCUCAAGCCUGGCUUGGUGAUGGGGCACUGCUUUUACCCAAAAGCAGGCCCUGAAAUUCAGUGGCGAGCUCGCCAGGACCCCGAGCGCAGUAGUUAAACCCUCGCUCUGGAAGGCCCUGGCGGUGCCCUGCCGUUAAACCCCCAACUUCUGAAAAUUGACCUCGGAUCAGGAGA
This 556-nucleotide ribosomal RNA is filed under the name Phomopsis sp. G30. RNAcentral describes it as "eukaryotic LSU rRNA". The stretch from base 222 to 375 matches the Rfam family "5.8S ribosomal RNA". The record is from RNAcentral. Lineage: Eukaryota; Fungi; Ascomycota; Sordariomycetes; Diaporthales; Diaporthaceae.